Molecule: ribosomal RNA, 286 nt
Filed under: uncultured soil bacterium
Lineage: Bacteria
Description: partial 16S ribosomal RNA
Rfam family: Bacterial small subunit ribosomal RNA
Source: RNAcentral
AGAUUGAACGCUGGCGGCAUGCCUAACACAUGCAAGUCGAACGGGAGUAGCAAUACUCUAGUGGCGGACGGGUGAGGAAUACGUAGGAAUUUGCCCUUAAGUGGGGGAUAACCCGGGGAAACCCGGAUUAAUACCGCAUGACCUCGAAAGAGCAAAGUGGGGGAUCGGCAAGACCUCACGCUUUUGGAGAAGCCUACGUCGGAUUAGCUAGUUGGUGAGGUAAUGGCUCACCAAGGCGUACGAUCCGUAACUGGUCUGAGAGGAUGAUCAGUCACACCGGAACUGA